UACGUAGGGGGCAAGCGUUGUUCGGAAUUACUGGGCGUAAAGGGCGCGUAGGCGGCCACUGCAAGUCAGUUGUGAAAUCUCCGGGCUUAACCCGGAAAGGUCAACUGAUACUGCAGGGCUAGAGUGCAGAAGGGGCAACUGGAAUUCUCGGUGUAGCGGUGAAAUGCGUAGAUAUCGAGAGGAACACCUGCGGCGAAGGCGGGUUGCUGGGCUGACACUGACGCUGAGGCGCGAAAGCCAGGGGAGCGAACGGG
Molecule: ribosomal RNA, 254 nt
Filed under: uncultured bacterium
Lineage: Bacteria
Description: partial 16S ribosomal RNA
Rfam family: Bacterial small subunit ribosomal RNA
Source: RNAcentral